UGCCAGCCGCCGCGGUAAUACGGAGGGUGCAAGCGUUAAUCGGAAUUACUGGGCGUAAAGCGCGUGUAGGCGGUUCGUUAAGUCUGAUGUGAAAGCCCGGGGCUCAACCCCGGAAGUGCAUUGGAAACUGGCGAACUUGAGUACAGGAGAGGAAAGUGGAAUUCCGAGUGUAGGGGUGAAAUCCGUAGAUAUUCGGAGGAACACCAGUGGCGAAGGCGGCUCCCUGGCCAAAGACUGACGCUCAUGUGCGAAAGUGUGGGUAGCGAACAGGAUUAGAUA
RNAcentral lists this ribosomal RNA (279 nucleotides) under uncultured bacterium. RNAcentral describes it as "partial 16S ribosomal RNA". It matches the Rfam family "Bacterial small subunit ribosomal RNA", at positions 506 to 784 of the family's 1533-position model. The record is from RNAcentral.